RNAcentral lists this long non-coding RNA (2955 nucleotides) under Scleropages formosus (Asian bonytongue). RNAcentral describes it as "lncRNA (ENSSFOG00015030780.1)". The record is from RNAcentral. Lineage: Eukaryota; Metazoa; Chordata; Actinopteri; Osteoglossiformes; Osteoglossidae.
CCCAUAUACUGUAGAUCACCACACCCUGGCGCUUUGAUAUAAAAACACAGAACGCGUUUCAGAAACAGUCUUUGUGCAGUUCGCAACACAGCCACACGGGGGCGCUUCGGCACACCGCAGAAACACGGUCUCCGUGCGGUUUACAUAGAGAGCCACACGAGGGCGGUCUAGCUUAUCGGUAGAACCUUCCGAGAACCUUUGAGCCACGGAAGUAAAUGUUCCAAAUCCCUUUUGCACGCUCUUUAAUGGCAGCACUGGGAGAAGGUACAAGUGACAUUUUGUAACAAGUAAACCCAUUCAGAAUUGAAGUGUGCGAAAACCGUAUCGUCGUUUCGCUGCACACGCCGGUGAGAUAAAUGUCUGACUUACUGCAGCACGAUGAAUAUACCGGCUUCAAAAGCGAAGAAGAACGUCAGCGCCGCACAGGCUGCGCUUUCCGGUGCGGUAAUGAGCGUCUUUACAGACUGAUCGCGAACGCAAACGCCGGAGCAGCGCCGGCGGGGAGCGACGCGGCGGAUCCCGGCUUGUUGUUCUCCAACGAGGAGGACGUGCGCCAGAUCGAAGAGGCCGUGAAAGCGGCCAUAGCGACGGUCGUGAAGGUCUUCUGCUCCGUGAGCGAUGCGAGGAUGCAGGAGUGCCGGAGGGAAGCGGCCGAGAGGCAGCGAGAGAACCGCCGGCUCAGGGUCCGGCUGGCAGCGGCCGAGACGGAGCUGCUGUGGCUGCGGCGACUCGCGGGGCCGCUAGAGGGCGCCGGAGCGGCGGACGGAGACACGCGGGCCGCCCGACGCCUCCACUCCGAUCCGCCUGCAGCCGAGAGGGCGGAGAGGGCGGAGAAGAAGAGUGCGGUUGGCGACGACAAGUCAGCUUCGCGGAGUGUGGAUCAGGAGCUGCUUCUUGAACCGCUGUCGAGACGGGCCGCGGAGAGUCCUUGUGAGAGGACAGUUACCCCGGUAAACCCUCCAGCUAGGAAUGAUGCAGCACGCAUUCCAGAGGUUUCCUUCACUGAGGUUUCUGAUCAGCAGGGUCACGGGAGGAAGCCAAAAAGCGUCUCCCGCUCUGAAGUCCACUCGGAGCCGGAGAGGAACCCCAGGCUCUCCGCAAGCCCAGGAAAGCAUCUCCAUAUGAAAGAAGAGCCUUCUGACUUUGAAACCGUGUAUGUCAAGUGGGAGGUGUGUGAGGAGCAUGUCAGAAGACAGGAGGAUGACCCCGGGUCUAACCGUCUCUUGCGGAAAAAGGACGAGCCGCAUAUAAGCCCUGUAUCUUUCGGCACGUUACCGUCCCCUGGAGCUGGACCUCAGGACGCUGCGGAUGCCCAUGACGCCAGCUUGGUGCCAUCUGCUCUGUUGGGCAGGACAGCGGUGACCUCGCUGGCUCGUAAGUAGAACGUCUUGGCGCGUUAGGAUCGUAGGCACAUAUGAGCUCUUUGCCGUCAUAAGAAUGUGUUUUAUAUCAAAUACCAUUUGAGGCUCAGGGUCCUUUUGACGUUAAUGUUGCUGUGAUUUUAGAGAGGCUGUCAAACCGAGAACGGCAGAAGCGGUACAGGGAGAAAAUCCGAGCGGAUCCUGAGCGGCAGCGGAUUUACAGGGAGAAGGACCGCUGCAGGUAUGGCCACCUCGUUUUCAUCUUCUCGCUUGCAGGGUGUUACUCUGCUGUGAUAAUGGUGUUUGUUUGCAUGUUGUCCAAAGUGGAAAAGUGACGGUAACUGAACAAAAAUGAAUAUUUGAAUCCAAGCUUGGCAUGUUCCCACUCUCAUUUUUUGCAGAUUUGCCAGUAGCAGCUUUUAACAAACCUUUUUACAGAUACCAGAAGAGGAGGAAGCUGAUCUGUGAACUGCCGGAACAAACUCAGAAGCUCCGAAGGCAGGCGUGGAGGGAGGCGGCAAGGCGCCAUCGUGCCCGGAAAAAAUCCUGCCUCCAAAUCGCCCAGUUUCCAAGCCUCGGGAACGUAGAAUCAGCUAUUAAUUCAACGGGUCACCCGGAAAGCUAGCGGCGAUACGGCCCCGUUACGGGGCCAUCCGGACUCCUCGCGAUGAUGAGUUCUCCGACAGCGAACUCGGAAAGCUCAAAAAAAUGUACUCAUCUAGGUAGCUUUUUAUGUACUCUUUGCGAUUUUAACAAUGACGCGCUCUGGCAAACGUCUCAUUCGUCUUCCUGUAUAACUUAUUAAAAAUCGAGACUGAAACUUUGUAGUGCUUGUCUGUUGAUGUAAGUCGCUGCCUCGGAAGGGUAACUGUACGUAUCGAGAUCCUUCGCUCGGUGCUGUCAGCGUAAGGUUCUUGCAACGGAAUAUCGCGCUGAUGUUAAUCAAAGAAACGCUAAUGAAGACACUUUCCAUAGGUAUUAUUUCAAAAGCCUUUUGGUUUUAUUCAUUUCAUUUGCCAGUGUCUGCAGGCAUUUUCUAUAGGAUAUUAAGUUUGUAUUCUAUAUAACUUGUACACCCAUACAGAAUUUGCCUAGUGUGAAAUGUACUCUAAUAUCAAGGAUGUUCAAGGUCCUUCAUAGGAGGAAAGCCUUUGUUAUGCAUAUAAGGCAUAAUUUGUUUAUAACUUAAAAAAAUACAUUACUUACCAGUAAUGUUUAGUAAAUAGUAUCUGAUGGUAGAUAUAACACUUGUGUUUUGCAGAUCAGUUGCUUUUGUUUCUUUUCCAGAACCAUUAUCGGCAGUAUUUAAGUAAAAAUGAUGGAUGAAUAUUUUGUUUUGCUGUUCUAGUACUGCAAAGGAAAUGCGUGCGCACACACACACACAGUCUAAAACCUCUUGUCCUAGGUGAGGUUGCGGGGAGCCAGAGCCUAACCUGGCAACACAGGGCGUAAGGCUGGAGGGGGAAGGGGACACGCCCAGGACGGGACGCCAGUCCAUUGCAAGGCACCCCAAGCGGGACUCGAACCCCAGACCCACUGGAGAGCGGGACCCGGUCCAACCCACCUGGAAAUAAAUAUUUUAUUUGCUUAUUCA